Molecule: ribosomal RNA, 301 nt
Filed under: uncultured bacterium
Lineage: Bacteria
Description: partial 16S ribosomal RNA
Rfam family: Bacterial small subunit ribosomal RNA
Source: RNAcentral
CAGUCGCCGCGGGAAUACGUAGGGUGCAAGCGUUGUCCGGAAUUAUUGGGCGUAAAGAGCUCGUAGGCGGUCUGUCGCGUCGGCUGUGAAAACCUGAGGCUCAACCUCGGGCCUGCAGUCGAUACGGGCAGACUAGAGUUCGGUAGGGGAGACUGGAAUUCCUGGUGUAGCGGUGGAAUGCGCAGAUAUCAGGAGGAACACCGGUGGCGAAGGCGGGUCUCUGGGCCGAAACUGACGCUGAGGAGCGAAAGCGUGGGGAGCGAACAGGAUUAGAUACCCGAGUAGUCCCUGUCUCUUAUAA